AUGUUCAUCACCUGCUUGCCCUCUCCUGCUACGAGCCGUCCGCACGUCAGCAGCCUUCAUGGACCCGAUGAAGAUGGGGAUCACCCAGGCCUCGACCUUUCCUCCUUGGACCCCGCUUGCCCGACCCCAAGUUCCAGGACUUCAGUUCAAAUUUUUUGUUCAAUUAUAUAUACAUUCAACGAUUUUAACCGCAGACUUGUAGUGGAAAUUGGUUAUGGUGGCAUGUUGCCACUACCCGCUAUUUCUAAGCUCAAUUUGAAAUUUAGCACAUGGCUCAUGAGAAUGGUAGAUGGGCCAAACAGAUGCAUCAAACUAUCUCAUGACAGAUCUAUUAGGUUCUGGCUAGGGGAUAUACACAAAGUUUUCGGUAUCCCAUGUGGCAAGCUAGACAUACACAACCUUGAAUAUCAAAAAACCGAAAGUUCAGUUCAGUUUUUUAGAUCCGUGUUGGGUAUGCCUGACAAAGGGAAUCAAGUGCUGAAAUGUGUUGAAAUGGUUAUAAUGAAAGAUCUGAAUGAAUCAACUUCCAGUAAUUUAGAGAUUGACUGUUUCGAGAUGGCUUUCGUGAUGUUUUACAUGGGCCACAUCCUGACACCGUCCAGUAAACAUGAUCAUGCCAUCAUUGAUUACUAG
Molecule: ribosomal RNA, 633 nt
Filed under: Triticum aestivum (bread wheat)
Lineage: Eukaryota; Viridiplantae; Streptophyta; Magnoliopsida; Poales; Poaceae
Description: partial small subunit ribosomal RNA
Source: RNAcentral